RNAcentral lists this long non-coding RNA (1274 nucleotides) under Rhinopithecus roxellana (golden snub-nosed monkey). RNAcentral describes it as "lncRNA (ENSRROG00000045872.1)". The record is from RNAcentral. Lineage: Eukaryota; Metazoa; Chordata; Mammalia; Primates; Cercopithecidae.
GUACCCCAGGAGGCAGCCCAGAAGGCAGACAUCGUUUUCUCAGUGAAGAGCCCACUGAGUGCCAGCUACCUGGUGAUGGUUUCGCCUGGCGCCUUGGCAGAUGAGCCACCCAGCCUGGACCCCAUGCAGAGCUUCUCUCAAGAGGUGGUGGACGCAGGCAGGAUCCUGUACCUGCACUCCUGCCCUGAGGCCUGGAGCGAUGCCUUCUCGCUGGUUGUGGCCUCAGUCUGGGCGCUCCCCUCGAGGACGUAUCAUAGAGCCAGAGGUGCUGCCCACUGUCAUCCCCACCGGGAGUGCAAAACUUCAGCGUCCCCGAGGGUGGCAGCCACACCUUGGUCCCUCCACUGCUCCGCAUCACCGGGCCCUACUUCUCCACUGUCCCGGGCCUUGGCCUGCAGGUUCUGGAGUCAUCCUGGCAUGGGGCCCUGCAGAAGGAAGAUGGGCCUCAUGCCAAGACCCUCAGCGCCUUCUGCUGGAGAGAGUGGAAGCUGAAGCCCUGAAAGUCAGUCUCCUCCUGCACCCAAAGGCAGGGCAUCUGGGUCCUGACUGCCAGCCCUGGGCCUGCCCCUCGGUGGAAGAGCAGCUGAUCUGCUAUGUGCACGAGGGGAGCAAGACACUGACAGACAGUUUUGUCCUGAUGGCUAACGUCUCGGAGAUGGACCGCCAGAGCCAUCCUGUGGCCUUCACUGUCACCAUCCUGCCUGUCAAUGGCCAACCCGCCAACCUCACCACAAACUCAGGCCUGCAGGAGCCCAGCGAUGGGGCCCUGCACCCCACACUAUGGCCCCUCCUGCCAAGGCUUGGCCUGAGGGCUCCCUAGGGCCAGGGGAGGAAGCCCAGGAAUGCCAGAGGGCUGUUUUCCGGGCACGUGAGUCCUACUGUAGCACUGCUCGCAAGUAAUUGACCCAGCAAGACUGGUACCAGGACCUCAGGAAUAGGCGCCUGCUCUGCUUUCAAGUGGGAGGCCUGGAAAGGGGUCCCCUUUGCCCAACACGAGGAGGGCCCGUAACUGCUCUGGAAGCCCCGGGCCCAUCUGACCACUGCUUCUGUGCUGCAGGAUAGUGCCAACCAUCAGGCCCCAACUCUCUGUGCCUCCCACCCCUCCCUCAGCUGGAAGGAGGGCCCAUUUCUAAAAUCACCAUUCCCACCUGUGCCCAGCCCCUUCUAGGCACACAUGGAGGGUCUGAAAGGAGACCCCUGUCCCACGAGAGACAGAUGAAGGAGAACCGUUGGUCAGCAUUGGGGGUUUCUGGCGGUGAGAACUUGGUGAGGGU